Alosa sapidissima (American shad) is the source of this 1448-nucleotide long non-coding RNA. RefSeq lists it as uncharacterized. The transcript has 3 exons. Lineage: Eukaryota; Metazoa; Chordata; Actinopteri; Clupeiformes; Clupeidae. The record is from RefSeq and is a predicted model, not a curated record.
GUGAGCGGUACGUGAAGACGGUAACAUGGGUGAAUGGCUGCCAUUUGAGAGGGAGAUAAUUAAGAAGGUAAUUCUCUCUGGAGUAGGGGCGUCUCAUUCUCUGCUGACAGAAUAGUGUAGUUUGGGGGAAACACAGGGUGUCGCCAUGGGUUCCAAAAUGUCACCCAGCUUUGCCUCCCUAUAUGUUGGACUGUUUGAACAAGAACACAUCUAUGACCCUCAAGCCAAUCCCUUCAUUCAUUACAUCUCUAUCUGGAGGAGGUACCUUGACGAUGUGUUCUUUAUUUGGGCAGGAUCUGACAAACUUUUGGAGGAUUUCUUUACCUUUGUAAACUCUAAGAGCGAACACCUUAAAUUUACUAUAUCUUCUGACAAAGAGAAAAUUAAUUUCCUGGAUAUUCUGAUAAUUAAGGAGAACAAUAUGUUGAAAACGGAUUUAUAUCGAAAGCCUACUGAUACCAUGACUUAUGACAAUUAUGUUGAGUCAUACCAUCCAAUCCACCUAAAAAGGAAUCUUCCUAUCUCUCAAUUUAACAGGAUUAGACGUAUUUGUAGCUCCUAUGAUGAUUUCACUCGACAAAGUUUGGUUUUGGAAAACCGUUUUAGAGAAAGGGGAUAUAUGGAAUCUUGGAUUAAUGAUGCAUCAACACGCAAAAAAAAACAAAAGGGAUGAUAAGAGAAUAGUGUGUGCCAUCCAGUACUCUCCGGUAGCUAAAGCUAUAGAGGGUGCUAAAAAGGGAGAUCCAAGGUCUUCUUUUGACUCGGCGUCGAAACGUUAGUCAGUUCGCACAAAUAAAAACACGUUAAAGCAUUGAGUGCUCCGAUCCUGCUCCUUGGCUCCUGUUAGACCUUGGAUCUCCCUUUUUGACUUCUGCGUCCUGUUCCGUGAGCACCAACCAGGCUGAAGCGCAAGUGACCCCCUUCUACUAUAGAGCGUGCUAUUACUGUAAACAACACUGGCACAUUCUGAACACGGACCCAACAUACGAACUUGCUUCCAUAAUCCCCCUCGAGUGGUAUUCAAAAAAACACCUAAUCUACACAACAGACUAGUGAGAGCAGACGUACCUUCCAUAGUGGCCCCUCAUUUCCUUAACUCCAUACCUACAGGGAAUUACCCAUGUGGAAGAUGCCAACAAUGCCAUUUCACUUAUAAAACUAAUACAUUCAAUCAUCCUCAUAAUGGCAAAAAAUAUAUGAUUAAAGAAGUGAUCUCUUGCUCCACUACCAAUGUUUUUUAUAUGUUGACAUGCCCCUGUGGAUUGUCAUAUAUAAGACCACUAGGGCAUUAAAAGGAUCUCAGAACAUCGCAGUGCUAUUCGAAAUGGUGUAACAUCUAGCCCUGUAGCUGUACAUUUCAUGAAUGCUAAACACAAUGUUUCCGGUUUAAAAUAUGUGGGGAUUGAGGCAAUCAAGUGUCCACGUGGGGGGGGGGUAACGUUGAUAAU